This 450-nucleotide ribosomal RNA is filed under the name uncultured bacterium. Its description in RNAcentral is "partial 16S ribosomal RNA". It matches the Rfam family "Bacterial small subunit ribosomal RNA", at positions 29 to 523 of the family's 1533-position model. The record is from RNAcentral.
AGCGAACGCUGGCGGCAGGCCUAACACAUGCAAGUCGAACGAACUCUUCGGAGUUAGUGGCGGACGGGUGAGUAACACGUGGGAACGUGCCUUUAGGUUCGGAAUAACUCAGGGAAACUUGUGCUAAUACCGAAUGUGCCCUUCGGGGGAAAGAUUUAUCGCCUGUAGAGCGGCCCGCGUCUGAUUAGCUAGUUGGUGAGGUAACGGCUCACCAAGGCGACGAACAGUAGCUGGUCUGAGAGGAUGGCCAGCCACACUGGGACUGAGAGCACGGCCCAGACUCCUACGGGAGGCAGCAGUGGGGAAUCUUGCGCAAUGGGCGAAAGCCUGACGCAGCCAUGCCGCGUGAAUGAUGAAGGUCUUAGGAUUGUAAAAUUCUUUCACCGGGGACGAUAAUGACGGUACCCGGAGAAGAAGCCCCGGCUAACUUCGUGCCAGCCGCCGCAGUAA